AGAACGAACGCUGGCGGCAGGCCUAACACAUGCAAGUCGAACGCCCCGCAAGGGGAGUGGCAGACGGGUGAGUAACGCGUGGGAAUCUACCUUGUGGUACGGAACAACCAAGGGAAACUUUGGCUAAUACCGUAUGAGCCCGAGAGGGGAAAGAUUUAUCGCCAUAAGAUGAGCCCGCGUAGGAUUAGCUAGUUGGUGAGGUAAUGGCUCACCAAGGCGACGAUCCUUAGCUGGUCUGAGAGGAUGACCAGCCACACUGGGACUGAGACACGGCCCAGACUCCUACGGGAGGCAGCAGUGGGGAAUAUUGGACAAUGGGCGCAAGCCUGAUCCAGCCAUGCCGCGUGUGUGAUGAAGGCCUUAGGGUUGUAAAGCACUUUCGCCGAUGAAGAUAAUGACGGUAGUCGGAGAAGAAGCCCCGGCUAACGUUCGUGCCAGCAGCCGC
Molecule: ribosomal RNA, 445 nt
Filed under: uncultured bacterium
Lineage: Bacteria
Description: SSU rRNA
Rfam family: Bacterial small subunit ribosomal RNA
Source: RNAcentral